CCUACGGGGGGCAGCAGUGGGGAAUAUUGGACAAUGGGGGCAACCCUGAUCCAGCCAUGCCGCGUGUGUGAAGAAGGCCCUCGGGUUGUAAAGCACUUUCAGUGAGGAAGAACGCCUGGUGGUUAAUACCCAUCAGGAAAGACAUCACUCACAGAAGAAGCACCGGCUAACUCCGUGCCAGCAGCCGCGGUAAUACGGAGGGUGCGAGCGUUAAUCGGAAUUACUGGGCGUAAAGCGCGCGUAGGUGGCUUGAUAAGCCGGUUGUGAAAGCCCCGGGCUCAACCUGGGAACGGCAUCCGGAACUGUCAAGCUAGAGUGCAGGAGAGGAAGGUAGAAUUCCCGGUGUAGCGGUGAAAUGCGUAGAGAUCGCGAGGAAUACCAGUGGCGAAGGCGGCCUUCUGGACUGACACUGACACUGAGGUGCGAAAGCGUGGGUAGCAAACAGGAUUAGAUACCCGAGUAGUC
RNAcentral lists this ribosomal RNA (465 nucleotides) under Vreelandella stevensii. RNAcentral's name for it is "partial 16S ribosomal RNA". It matches the Rfam family "Bacterial small subunit ribosomal RNA", at positions 338 to 795 of the family's 1533-position model. The record is from RNAcentral. Lineage: Bacteria; Pseudomonadati; Pseudomonadota; Gammaproteobacteria; Oceanospirillales; Halomonadaceae.